RNAcentral lists this ribosomal RNA (587 nucleotides) under uncultured bacterium. RNAcentral's name for it is "partial 16S ribosomal RNA". It matches the Rfam family "Bacterial small subunit ribosomal RNA", at positions 355 to 1375 of the family's 1533-position model. The record is from RNAcentral.
UGGGGAAUUUUGGACAAUGGGCGAAAGCCUGAUCCAGCAAUGCCGCGUGUGUGAAGAAGGCCUUCGGGUUGUAAAGCACUUUUGUCCGGAAAGAAAUCCUUGGCUCUAAUACAGUCGGGGGAUGACGGUACCGGAAGAAUAAGCACCGGCUAACUACGUGCCAGCAGCCGCGGUAAUACGUAGGGUGCAAGCGUUAAUCGGAAUUACUGGGCGUAAAGCGUGCGCAGGCGGUUUGCUAAGACCGAUGUGAAAUCCCCGGGCUCAACCUGGGAACUGCAUUGGUGACUGGCAGGCUAGAGUAUGGCAGAGGGGGGUAGAAUUCCACGUGUAGCAGUGAAAUGCGUAGAGAUGUGGAGGAAUACCGAUGGCGAAGGCAGCCCCCUGGGCCAAUACUGACGCUCAUGCACGAAAAGCGUGGGGAGCAAACAGGAUUAGAUACCCUGGUAGUCCACGCCCUAAAACGAUGUCAACUAGUUGUUGGGGAUUCAUUUCCUUAGUAACGUAGCUAACGCGUGAAGUUGACCGCCUGGGGAGUACGGUCGCAAGAUUAAAACUUAAAUGAAUUGACGGGGUCAUAGCUGUUUCCU